RNAcentral lists this ribosomal RNA (450 nucleotides) under uncultured bacterium. Its description in RNAcentral is "partial 16S ribosomal RNA". It matches the Rfam family "Bacterial small subunit ribosomal RNA", at positions 354 to 796 of the family's 1533-position model. The record is from RNAcentral.
GUGGGGAAUAUUGGACAAUGGGCGCAAGCCUGAUCCAGCCAUGCCGCGUGUGUGAAGAAGGCCUUCGGGUUGUAAAGCACUUUUGUCCGGGAAGAAAUCUUCCAGGUUAAUACCCUGGGAGGCUGACGGUACCGGAAGAAUAAGCACCGGCUAACUUCGUGCCAGCAGCCGCGGUAAUACGAAGGGUGCAAGCGUUACUCGGAAUUACUGGGCGUAAAGCGUGCGUAGGUGGUUCGUUAAGUCUGCCGUGAAAGCCCCGGGCUCAACCUGGGAAUGGCGGUGGAUACUGGCGGGCUAGAGUGCGGUAGAGGAUGGCGGAAUUCCCGGUGUAGCGGUGAAAUGCGUAGAGAUCGGGAGGAACAUCCGUGGCGAAGGCGGCCAUCUGGACCAGCACUGACACUGAGGCACGAAAGCGUGGGGAGCAAACAGGAUUAGAAACCCGGGUAGUCC